CGGACGCUCUCGGCGGCACGUCAAGAGUUUUAAACGUGGUAUGACGGAGGGAGUGCCGCAAAAUUUGUGCAACAGAAUCCACAUUGCCUGUCUGGUCUACUUUCCUGACGUAGGUCCAGAAACCUGUUUUGAUUUGAUGGUUUUGGCGUCAGUGAGACGGCGGUCUGUUUCAGGUGACGGUGUAAAGUCUGCUGAACAGACACGUCUGGAAAUAAAGAGAUCUAUUCAGCGCUUAAUGGCAGCCUAUAGGGCAGUGCACCAUGUGUUCUCGAGUGGAAGAGCACCCUAGAGGGUACUUCAUCAUGCUUCCUAUCAUGUAAGGAGCUUAUAGGUCACUGCAUCAUGCAUUCUUUACUUGAAGUGCACACUACAAAGCACUUCAUCAUGUUUCCUAUUAUGUAGGGAGCCUAUAGGGCACUGCACCAUAUGUUCUC
Long non-coding RNA from Ictalurus punctatus (channel catfish), 434 nucleotides. The record is from Ensembl. NCBI's taxonomy places the organism in Eukaryota, Metazoa, Chordata, Actinopteri, Siluriformes, Ictaluridae.